CUGGGCUGCGACUUGAAAGAGUUUAGGCAGCAACAGAGUGACCCUGGGGGUGCUCUUGACCGACAGCCGCACCCCCGGCGUCUAGGACCUCCGAGCAGGGAUGCAUCUGGAGGUCUAGGGAAGCACUUCCACCCCCUCCUCUCCUCAAUCCUGGCAGGAUGGCUACUGCUGCUUCAAGACAGUGACGUUUCUCUCCGGUCAGCUGUCAGGAGCGCUGGUGAGCUUCCUACUGUGCCACAAGCUGGGUCUUACUGGGGAUCUGGCCAGCCUUGGGGGCCCUUGGAGCCCUGGCCCAGUGGAAGCUCGUGCCUGAGGAACAUGGAGGCCACGCUAAUGGGUCUGUUCCUGGUUUCCCAGAUGCAUAAAGGAAGACAUAUCCCUCCCCUGGGCAGCAAGGCUACAAUGGGAGGGAGGGAGAACAUGGGAGCAUGUGAAUAAAAUGGCAUUAAAUACUGAA
This is a long non-coding RNA of Homo sapiens (human), 457 nucleotides long. Ensembl annotates it as transmembrane protein 198B (pseudogene). Its record names the gene TMEM198B. The record is from Ensembl. NCBI's taxonomy places the organism in Eukaryota, Metazoa, Chordata, Mammalia, Primates, Hominidae.